Long non-coding RNA from Etheostoma spectabile (orangethroat darter), 1313 nucleotides. RefSeq lists it as uncharacterized. The transcript has 2 exons. Lineage: Eukaryota; Metazoa; Chordata; Actinopteri; Perciformes; Percidae. The record is from RefSeq and is a predicted model, not a curated record.
GAUGAUCUGCUGUUGAACACCCACAGAAAGACCUGCAGGAGAUUCAUAAAUCCUCUCUUACUACAUACUGCUGUACGAAUACAGACAUGUUUAUGUUAGUGAGAUCAUUUUAUCAUUGUAUCUUUCUUCAGAAGUAUACUUUGCCAUAUUUAAAGUCUUAUUACAAGAUUUGAAUGUGAUUAUCAUGUUUAUUGGUUUCUUUGCAUUCCACUUUAACAUAAAUAAACCUUUUUUUCUUAUUGUCAACAACGGCCAAAACCAACAAUACAUUAGUCUGUCUCUCAACCCUUCUGUUUCUUUACCCGGUCUAUGGCACUGAGCCCCAAGCCCUACUGGUUCCUACACAAUAUGGAAAUCUUUAUAUUUUCUCCUCAUACUCUCAUUGGGAAAAAAGGCUCAAUCAUUUCCUAGAACAGGUGUGUACUGUAGUUUUCAGCAAAUGCUUGUCAAAUAGAAGUAAAUAUUGAACGUUGGGGACAAUUUUCAGCUGUAGAUUAAUACACAUGUGGUACACUGUUAGUAGUUACAGCAGCAGUAUGGAGUGUGUGAGUCAAAGUGAACAGCUUUCAUCUUAAAGGGGAGCUCCACCCACUUCACACCUCAAAGUCUGUUUACAGGCCUUAGUGAUACUGCAUAUGUGGGGGAAAAGUUGUAUACAGCCUUUUGUGACUAUACAGGGAGCUGCACACAGUCUGAUAAAUUGCCUCAAGUGAUGUCACUCGAGUCGGAAGAAGUGAGUUUACCAGACCUGUAGCACAUUCCUCACAUCUGCUCAAGGCUACAUUUGCUGCUACUAGCAUAACACACCACAAUCUUUGAUCAUGCUGCUCUAGGUUUUGAUGAGGAAGAAGAAUAUUGGGAAUUAAAAAAGAUCUCCGGUCCUGAUUUCCAUACUAAAAAAAAAAAAAUCAGUGCAUUACUCUUAUAAUAAAGUCACCCAGUGCAAUUGUCUCUCAUGUGUUUUUAAUACUUUUUAGAGCUCUAUGGCACAGAGGAAUAAUAUAUUGUAGGCUCGGAUUCACACACAAAUAUAAUUUAUUGGGAUUUGUUGACAAAAAGAAAAAAUAUUACUAGACACAUAUCCUUAAUUGCCUUGGAAGAAGCAAGUAACAAAUCUAAACCACUACAGAAUGGUUUAAACUAUGGUGAGCAAUGCUAUGACUAUAGUAGGUGCUGUUAAUGGUUUAACAUGUAAAAACACUGGUAUGGUCCUAAUAACACUCUUGCUUUCAGUUUUCAAUGAUCAAUAAAACUGUCUGCAUCCAGUAUGUGCACUCAUGUUUCUUUACUUUUGAAUAAAUGGUUUGAGAGUG